This 253-nucleotide ribosomal RNA is filed under the name uncultured bacterium. RNAcentral describes it as "partial 16S ribosomal RNA". It matches the Rfam family "Bacterial small subunit ribosomal RNA", at positions 524 to 776 of the family's 1533-position model. The record is from RNAcentral.
UACGUAGGUGGCAAGCGUUGUCCGGAUUUACUGGGCGUAAAGAGCGCGCAGGCGGUCGAGUAAGUCGAGUGUGAAAGCCCCGGGCUUAACUUGGGAAUUGCGCUCGAAACUACUUUGCUGGAGUGUGGCAGAGGAAGGUGGAAUUCCACGUGUAGCGGUGAAAUGCGUAGAGAUGUGGAGGAACACCAAUGGCGAAGGCAGCCUUCUGGGCCAACACUGACGCUCAUGCACGAAAGCGUGGGGAGCAAACAGG